CGGUUAAAGUAAUGCCCAUAAUUCUAUAAGCACGUAAGUUUGUAAUACAUUGAUUUGGCAGAUCUAAAUAAUCCGUUUGUAUAUAGUUAUUUGUGCGCUUAGAGAGACUUAAUAUGCCGUGGUCAAUGCUUGCUCGGUGUAAUCUCUUAGAGGUUGAGUUGCAAUAAAAAUGAUUUCUUGCGAAUUCUCUAGUACCUGAACUUUGUUCACGUGUGCAAAAGUUGGUUUCUCUGUCGGCAUGUGAACCGUCAGGUGCAAGAAAGAGAAAUGGACAUGGAGUUCGCCUGAGGCUUAGCUCAUCGCAAAUUUGGCACGGCUAAUUCCAGCCCUUCUGCCCAAAAACGUUAAGCAGAUGGACAACCUAAACGGGAUCAAAGUCAGACCUUGCCUCGUUCAGAAGCUAGCAAUUUCUGACGCGAUUUGUCAUAGAACAGCUAACAUAUAUUUGCACGGAAGGUGUUAUUUCUGUUGGCGAGACACGAAUGCGACCGACGGGAAAUGGACGCAAUUUAAACGUGUUUUGACCCAUUUUUGAGAAAAUGACAAGUUCU
RNAcentral lists this long non-coding RNA (551 nucleotides) under Eucalyptus grandis. Its description in RNAcentral is "long non-coding RNA (EGRA_LNC006954)". Lineage: Eukaryota; Viridiplantae; Streptophyta; Magnoliopsida; Myrtales; Myrtaceae. The record is from RNAcentral.